This 2048-nucleotide long non-coding RNA is filed under the name Anas platyrhynchos platyrhynchos (common mallard). Its description in RNAcentral is "lncRNA (ENSAPLG00000028682.1)". Lineage: Eukaryota; Metazoa; Chordata; Aves; Anseriformes; Anatidae. The record is from RNAcentral.
AAAGGAGCACAGAGAGCGAUGUGGGUCUCCAGCACUCCCCAUGUGUGAUCCUCUCGGCUUGGCAAAAGGCAGCCCAAGGCCACUCUGAGGAGCUCUGGACGGAUGGACAUGCCAUUCUGUACGUCGUGUGGCUGUCAUCUGGAAGCUAACAUAAGAAAUGGCUCACUGGAGAGGAAGCGCCGUGGCUCUGCUGGAGCAGAUUCCUGCCUGCAAGCCGAGCGUGCGCGAGAAAAUGAUUGGGCUUUGAAAGCAACCCCCCAGCUGGAACAACACGUUGCUGCUCCGGUCGAAUGUCAUCACGGAUGAACUGUCUUUCCCCCUGAAAUCAUAAGAUUUGCAGAGCUGAUGGCUGCACACAGUGACCCUGCAGCAGGAACAGCCAGCGGGGCUUUGCCAAGAUGCACUCAGUGUUUGCAGUGAGGUGAUGUGGAGAUGUUCACUGCCAGUAUUUUGACUUUUCCUUUUGACAAGUCGGACCUGCCCUCAAACAGAAGCAAAAGGAGCACUAGAAGCAUAAGCAGUCUGCAAAGAGAAGUGAAGCGUUUGGCUGUGGGUUGCACAAAGUGCCUGGGGCCAGCCCAGAAGCACUGGAAGGACUGGGUCACCCCAACCCGCACCUAUACACGUUUUUAUCUUGGUUUUAAGCCCGGCCAUAUUUUGUUGCUGUUGUUGCUGAUUCCUGCCCUCCUCGCCCCCCUCAAACCAAAAAGUGGGCUCUUUGCCCAAAUCCCACGCAGCCCAAGCGGGCUCCUGAAGCACCGAGAGCUGCAGAGCAGUUUCACUGCUGCCCAGCUUGGUGGGUUCCCGUCCAUGUGUCCGUCCUGAGCAGCCCAGCACUGCAGGGAUGGACACACAGCCUCUGCAGGAGCACAGCUCCCUCUCAUGACUGCAGAGCACACCAGCACUGCAAUGAAUAUUAUACUAAAUCUUCUGAGGGGUUGACUGAUACACCUGUGUGUCAGCCAGCAAGCCUCUGACUUUAUAUCGCUGCAAGAUGGUUUUGAAAUCUUCAUUGUCCACCUGCCCCAGCUGCGGGUGUCUCAGAUUAACCUCAGAAAUACCUUAUUUCUCAGGAAUAGCCCCACUUGCAUUGCCCAAGCAGCUUUAAUAUGUGAGUUUGGGUACAGACAGAUUGUAUGGAAGCACAAUCAGAUGAGUUUAUUCUGCUCUGAGGCCACCUCCAACCUCAGAAGUCACUUUCAGCUGCUGCUGGAUUUGUGCUGGGCUUUGGGAUGAUCCCAAAACACCUCCAGAAAGAGGAAGGUGGGCACUGCAAACAGGUGAGGACACAGAUCUCCCAUUGCCAUCAGCCCCACUGCAUUGCCCCAUGUGCGAUUUAGGCUGGGGAAAGAUCCUAAAACUUCCCCCAUGGAGACUUUGUGUUGCUGCAUGGACAUAAAAAUCCAAGAAAAGGUUCCUCACCCCAACCCAGUGUGUCUGUGCAGCAUCAGCGCUCAGCACUAGAUGUCCUUGCGGUGCCGUGCAAGGAUGUGACAGAGGGGAUCCUUAUCGACGGAUUGAGGGUCACUUAGUGGGGAUGCUGCUAAAAAUAUCCAGAGCUGCCCUUUGGGGUGGGUAAGCCAUAGCUGCCACACAGGCCUGUUGAUGUCUUGUGGUGAAACACAUUAAAUUACAGGGAUUAUAUUAAAAUGGUGUAAAUUAAUGGGUUUAUGUUGCACUAAGGACAGGCUAGAAAACAGAUGAGGUCAGUUAUAAAAAGGUAGUAAUUUAUUUGGAUGUAAUAACUCCAACGGGUUGUUUAAUUGGUGUUCGUGACCACACACAGGCUUAUGUAAAGCUAUCAAUUUUAAAGUCCACCAUCCUUCUUUCUUUGCUUUUUCUACUGUUAUAUGUGAUCCCAUAUCAGGUGUAACAGGCAUGAGAAGCAGGGGGUAACUGAAAGAUCAUCAAGAAUGGAUUCAUUUUUUCCAAGGGUUUUUGAUAGUUCUGGCAUAAAUUACAUGUUGAUGGGAAAAUAUUUUGCUCUGCUUUAUGUGAAUGUUAUCGUAAGUAAUAAACUUGCAGGAAUAAUGCUGAAAUAUUUAUUG